Long non-coding RNA from Cicer arietinum (chickpea), 1299 nucleotides. RefSeq lists it as uncharacterized. Lineage: Eukaryota; Viridiplantae; Streptophyta; Magnoliopsida; Fabales; Fabaceae. The record is from RefSeq and is a predicted model, not a curated record.
GGGCAUUCUUCACACCAAAUGACAUGACCAAAGACUCGUAAUAUUUAUACUAUGUUUGAAAAGUUGUUUCAGGAACAUCUUUCUACUUUAUUCAAAUUUAAUGAUAUUCUAACUUAUGGUCAAUUUUUGAGAAAAUGGCGGCUCCUCCGAAUUGGUCCAAUAAGUUAUUUAUUAUAUGCAAAGGGUACCUAUUCUUUAUUGUUAUCUUAUUAUUGAGUUUAUUAUAAUCUAUGCAAAGUCUCAAGCAAUACUUCUAAUAGUAUUUUCAUCAAACAACUCUCUUGCAUUGAAUAUUUGGAGGAGAGAAAAAACAGAACUUUAUUUCUACUAAUAAAUAAAACCAUACUCUUAACAUACAUGUCCCCAAAACAUUUCUUAUCAAUCUAGAUGAAAUAAAUUUCAAACCCAAAACUUCCCUUUUUUCCCCAUUAAACAACCAAAACAAAAUUUUCUUGUAAAAUUUUUCAAAACUAACAUGCAUGUACAAGUCUUUGGAGAAAUUCCAUAAAGAAAGAAAAAUAUGAACUCACUCAAGUGUUCUUGGUAUAAAAUGGAGAAGAUUUGAAUAGUAAAGUGGGCGGAUUUUUUUAGCUGAAUCUGUUGGUGAUGUGAGAAGAAAGUGAGUGAUGUUGGUAUGUUUUGACAUCGUGAGGUUUGUGGGAUAAGGGAAAAUGAACUUUUUUUCUCUUCUAGCUAUUGUGUUUUACAACUACCACUAGUUCUCAUUUUCUAAGAGUAAUAAUAGUAAAUAAAGAAAUUUAAUUAUCGAUAGAAAUUUUAUUUCAUUUCUAUUUUUCUUAAUAAUCAUAAAGUAGAACUCAAUCUUAUUUGUGUUUAUUAUACAAAAGUUUUCAUCAUUCUCAUACCACACAAAUUCUAGAAUUUAUCAAACAUGUCACAAAUUUACAAAAUUCUAAAAUAGUAAAAAAAGGUCGCUUCACUCUUCCAUCUUAAAAAAAAAUUACCUUCAAAAUUUCAAAAUUUACCUAAGAGAAACUAUAAGGAUAUUCUUCCAUUAUGUUAGAUUUCUUCUCUCAAGUAGCCUAUUCUAGGGAUGUCCCUCUCCAAAUAACAUUUAUCAAGGGAAUAGUCUUAUUUUGCAAGGUUUUGAAAGGUUUUCAAGUUUCGGUCCACAAUUUGAAUUGGUGUUGGUUAGAAAGUGGAAUAUGUUUUAAGUUGAACGAAUUCAUGGUUUAAAGUUUAAUAGGGAUCCAAAAUGUAUUUCUUAAGUUGUAUAUGUAUUGAUUUUGUAUUUGUCUUAUAAGAUAAGUAGUUAUUAUUUCUUAAGAAAUAAUCAAA